UGGGGCUGCCCCCGGCGGUGGAGGGGUCUGGGUGCUGCGCCAGGCUUGGCAGGCCCGCCUCGCCUCCCGGAGGCUCCGUUUCAUGGCCAGAGGGAGGAAUUUGAACCCCGGGUCCUGCGCGGUGUAGUGCAGAGGUGCUGGGUGAGGUGGCACGGUGUGGGUGAGGGGGCCGUGCCUCCCCAUCACACACAUUCCUCUGGGUCACCCCUGACCUGGCUGCCCUUGCUUACAGUCAGGAAAGCCCGUGUUUUAGUCGGGGAUAAUGUGUAUUCUGUCCCUCUUCAAAAAUUCGAUCAUCCUGCCCGCGUUCGCUUUCUGCAGAGCAGCCUCAGUCCCAUCCCUACGCUUCUUUUCCUACCCUGGCCAUUUCCCUUCAUAACUCCUGUGGCACCUGGCCCUGUGUUGUCCACUCACACACACCCCAUCCAUGGCCUUUUAGCCGUCCUGUAUCCCAGGACAUGCAUUUCCCUCACGACUUCUACCUGGUGGAAGAAAGGCAGGGCAGCAAAUGCUGACUGCACUCCCCUUUCUGCCUGCUGUCUUCCUCCCAGGUGUGCCACUGCCUUUGCCGUGCCUUGCUGACCAUUCUUGACCCUGCUGGGAAAGCAGUGUGUGCCUGGUUGGUUUCCAGUUCUUCGUGUUUUCCCUUCAACACCCUGCCAGGGACGCAAAUCUGGAGUCAUGGCACUGUGUCCCAGUCCCAGCCCCUUCACCCUACUGGAAAAGCACAAAGGGGUUCCUGUAUGGUAAUGAAGUGGUAAUGAAAUGGUGUGAAUUGAGAUGCCCAGGAAUCAGAGGUGGCCUGUUGAAGGAAGGAUGGUGUGCGACUGAGUAGUCUGAACACAGCUGUAAAGUCUCUUGAAAUCACAGUGUAGGUCAAUGUAAUCUGAUUUUCCUUUUAUUUUAAUUAACAUAAAUCAUAAUCACUGCCAUGGCAACAUAGUGUGGAAACUAGUAAAAAGAAGGACGCUC
This is a long non-coding RNA of Cygnus olor (mute swan), 972 nucleotides long. RefSeq lists it as uncharacterized. Lineage: Eukaryota; Metazoa; Chordata; Aves; Anseriformes; Anatidae. The record is from RefSeq and is a predicted model, not a curated record. The transcript has 2 exons.